RNAcentral lists this non-coding RNA (109 nucleotides) under unclassified sequences. RNAcentral describes it as "PhotoRC-II RNA". It matches the Rfam family "PhotoRC-II RNA". The record is from RNAcentral.
UAACUUUUGUGACUUGCUGAAAAGGGACUAAAACUCCUCACCGAGGCUAAGCAAGUAAAAUACGCCUCUCAUAUCUCAGUCUGAGGGUGACUGAGAAAUAAGUACCUCC